This 263-nucleotide transfer-messenger RNA is filed under the name Candidatus Pelagibacterales bacterium. Its description in RNAcentral is "Pelagibacterales bacterium partial transfer-messenger RNA". It matches the Rfam family "Alphaproteobacteria transfer-messenger RNA". Rfam says of the family: Bacterial tmRNA, also known as 10Sa RNA or SsrA, is named for its dual tRNA and mRNA-like properties. Its role is to liberate the mRNA from a stalled ribosome. Lineage: Bacteria; Pseudomonadati; Pseudomonadota; Alphaproteobacteria; Candidatus Pelagibacterales. The record is from RNAcentral.
AAAAUUGAAUAUUUUAAAUAAUGUUUUAUAUUAUUGAUGUUGGUUUUCCAACUACGACGAUAAACGAAUUUCGUAAUAAACAUUACGGACCAGGGGGCAGUACCCUGCACCUCCACCAUUUACAACUUAUGGGGGUGAACUAGAAUCGACGAGUGUCUAAAGGCUAUUCUUUCGUUCGGGAUUGUUCCGUCGUUAUCGGGCUAAAUUAUAAUUGCAAAUGAUAAAUUUGCUCUCGCUGCUUAAAUUUAUUUAAGAAAGCGCGG